AUACGGAGGGUGCGAGCGUUAAUCGGAAUUACUGGGCGUAAAGCGUACGUAGGCGGUUGGUUAAGUUAGAUGUGAAAGCCCCGGGCUUAACCUGGGAACUGCAUUUAAAACUGACGAACUAGAGUUGAGUGGAGGGGAGUGGAAUUUCAGGUGUAGCGGUGAAAUGCGUAGAGAUGUGAAGGAACACCAGUGGCGAAGGCGACUCCCUGGACUCGAACUGACGCUGAGGUACGAAAGCGUGGGUAGCAAACGGGAUUAGAAACCCUAGUAGUCC
Molecule: ribosomal RNA, 274 nt
Filed under: uncultured bacterium
Lineage: Bacteria
Description: partial 16S ribosomal RNA
Rfam family: Bacterial small subunit ribosomal RNA
Source: RNAcentral